GACAUUAUUUCAAAAUUUUGAUGUAAAUUUUUAAUAUUUAAUAUUUAAUUUGAAUUUUAAUUAAUAUAUUAUAAAGAUAAUGUUAGUAUAUUAAUUUGAUUACAAUUUUUAUAUUCACCUGAACCAAACACCGAUAAUGGGAAUGAUUUAUUCCGAUUCCGAUUCAGGUGAUAAACCAAACAGAAUUAGGUAAUGAGUCAUUUCGAUUUCGAUUCCUGCUUAUUUUGAUUCCGAUUCCAAUUUCGAUUCCGACUACAAACCAAACAUGCCCUUAAAGUCUUUGACUCAGGCCACUAGCAACAAUAACUCGUUGGGCCCAACCACCAGCCCAAAAUGCUUAAACCCAGUUAUUAUUGUUUGCGUCUAAGUCUCUUAUAUACCUAAUCACAUCUCCAUUCCUAUCCAAUAUGGGAUUAUUGGGGUGUGUCACACACACAGCCCAAGAUCACCAGGCGAUGUGAGACUCGUCUCGCUAACCUUAUCAUCUAAACCCUAGCAUAGCAGGCCACCUUGUCAUUCACACUCCAGCAUAGCCUGCAUAGCCUAUCACUUUGUCUUUCAGACCCUGGCUCAAUCGAAACUCGUCACACAUUUCCGGCUGGUGAACUGGCUCUGAUACCAAAUGUAACGGCUCAGCCCACUAGCAAUAAUAACUCAUUGAGCCCAAACACCGGCCCAAAAUAUUUAAGUGCAGUUAUUAUUACUAGUGUCUAAAUCUCUUAUAUACCCAAUCACAUCCUCAUUGCUAUUCGAUAUGGGAUUAUUGGGGUGUAACAAAUUAGCAAAAAAAAUUUUGCAAAAAAUUUAUAGGAGUAUGUUUUUUUUUUUUUUUUUUUUUUUUUUUUUUUUUUUUUGUCACGAACACCGCCAUCUUGAUGAACUAUAGUAAGGCUAAAAUCGCUAUUAAAUUCAAAUAUUAGAGGCUUUGAAUAGCAAAUUUUGUGCAAAAAAUUUAUAGGGGUAUGUAUAUAUUUUUAAAAAAUUAUAUUUUUCUUUUUUGCUGUCACGAGCAGCAUUAUUUUGGUGAAAUACAGUAAGGCUAAAAUAGCUAUUAAAUUCAAAUAUUAAACUCUUUGAUUAGCAAAAAAUUUUUUGCAAAAAAUUUAUAGGAGUAUGUAUUUUUUAUUUUUUUAUUUUUUGUCACAAACAACGCCAUUUUGAUGAACUAUAUAAGGCUAAAAUCGCUAUUAAAUUCAAAUAUUAGAGGCUUUGAGUAGCAAAAAUUAUUUUUUUGCUGAAUUUUUUUUUCCUUUUUUGUUGUAAAAAACAAUACUAUUUUUGUGAACUAUAGUAGGGCUAAAAUAGCUAUUCUUAGUCUCUUUGAGUAGCAAAAUUUUUUUUGCAAAAAUAGGUGUAUUUAUUUUUUUAAAAAUUACUUUUUUAUUGUCACAAACAGUACCAUUUUGGUUAACUAUAGUAAGACUAAAAUAGCUUUUAAAUUCAAAUAUUAGAGUCUUUGAGUAACAAAAAUUCUUUUGCAAAACAUUUAUCGGAGUAUGUAUAUUUUUUUAAAAAUUUCUUUUUUCCUUUUUAUUGUCCUAUAGUAAGUCUAAAAUAACUAUUAAAUUUAAAUAUUACAGUCAUUGAGUAGCAAAAAUUUUUGUGCAAAAUAUUUAUAGGAGUUUGUAUAUUGUUUUUGAAAUUUUUUUUUUUUUUUUUGUUAUCGGGAGCAACAUCAUUUUGGUGAACUAUAGUAAGGCUCAAAUAGCUAUUAACUUCAAAUAUUAGAGUCUUUGAUUAGCAAAAAAAAUUUUGCAAAAAAUUUAUAGGAGUAUGUAUAUUUUUUAAAAAAAUUAUUUUUUUUCUUUUUUGUUGUUACGAAUAGCAUCAUUUUGGUGAACUAUAGUAAGAUUAAAUAGCUAUUAAAUUCAAAUAUUUGAGUCUUUGAGUAGCAAAAAUUAUUUUUUUGCAAAAUUUUUUUUUCUUUUUUGUUGUCAUGAAUAGCAUCAUUUUGAUGAACUAUUGUAAGGCUAAAACCUAAAAGGGCUAUUAAAUUCAAAUAUUAGAGUCUUUGAGUAGCAAAAAUAUUUUCGCAAAAAAUGUAUAGAAGUAUUUAUAUUUUAAUUUUUUUUUUCCUUUUUUAUUGUCACGAACAACACCAUUUUGAUGAACUAUAAGACUAAAAUAGCUAUUAAAUUUAAAUAUUAGUGUCUUUGAGUAGUACAAAAAAAAAUUAAAAAAAAUUAUAGGAUUUUGUAUGUUUUUUGAAAAAAGAAAAAUUGUAGGAAUGAACCAGUAAUGGACUACAUUUUAUUAUUUUAAUAGACUAAAUCAGAUAUUUUGUUAAAUACAAUAAUGAGUCUACUAAAUUGAUGGUUCUAAGUAGUCUUAUAAACUAAUGGAAUUAGUAAUUGAUUUUUAUCAGCCAAUCACUGCUGUAGUCGUUAAUUAUAAUAAAUUCUCAAAUUACCUUAAAAAAAUAACUUAAAUAAAUAUAACAAAAAUUCUGGAAAAAAAUUUAGAUUGGGGGGCUAAUUAUCAAAUGCAAAAAUAAAUAAAUAAAUAAAUAAAUAAUAAAAAUGAAAACAAAAAAGAGAGCCAAAAAAAAUUAAAAACAGAAACAAAUAUUACAAAGUAAAAUUCAUGGGACCUUUUUUUUUUAAGUGACCCAAACAAAUUAUCAGCACCAACACUACAAAAACCUAUUUCCCUCCCAGAAAUUACUUGUUACAAUCAAAGCUACAGUGAAAAGACCAAAAAAAAAAUCUCAAUAUAUAUAUAUAUAUAUAUAUAUAAAGAAAAAACAAAUUAAACAUCUGCGAAAUCAGAUGCAGAGUCAAUCGAUUCCUCUCUGCGGUGUUCUGACGCCGAAGACUGAACGUCUGACGGACUCUUCCUAUGAUGCUUUCGGAUUUGGCUUUCUUUGAUGACGCGGGAGAGUGCUUGGACGACAUCGCGCAUUGAAGGCCGUUUCCGUGAAACUUUACUCACACAUUUGUAUGCGACUGCUGCAAUGUCGUUGAGCUCGUCGACAUCGAAUGCACCGUCCAGUCGGGAAUCCACGAUUUCCUCCCACCCGACUUGUCCAUCGGCAUUUAUUGCAGCCUAGUUUCACAGGUUACCAUCAGCAAACAGUUCCGUAUAUUGAAAUGUCGGAUUCAUUUCAAGCUUAGCUCCUGAAGUUUUGACCUUUAUUUCGCCAUCGACAUUAUAGCUUCAAUUGUAACAAUCUAGUCCCUGAUAACAGUUAAGUCCUAUUAAUCUAUCAUCUUAAAAGUGUGCCAAAUCAGGACUACAUUUGUUAAAUUUUGUGUUAUAGGAGCAAAACUAAAAUAUGGUCGAAGUUCGGAGCAAACUUUUAAAGUGAAAGAUUGUGGACUAAAUUGAAAUCAAAUCAAACUUCAGAGAUAAGAUUGUUACAACUGCAACUCGAAGUCGAAAUUGAAUUUUGGAUCAAACUUCAAGGACCGAACACUUGUAAUCAGACUUCUCUCGAAAAAAAAAAAAAAAAACACUUGUAAUCAGACAAGUUGAGAGCUACGAUGAUUGCAGGAACAAGACUUGUUUAGUGAAUUAUGAGAUUUUGUGGAUUUAUAGAAUGGAUUUAUAGAAAGCCAGUUCAUGAUAAUUCAGUUUUGUGAUCAGUUUUACGUGGAAGAACGAGUUAUUGUUGCGACUUAAAGUUAAUCAUCCUGAAUGGCAAUCUAAUUAAAAAUAAACCAAGCGAGAUGCGCUCGUUUGAAUAAUAAGUUUUCUCCUUUCAACCAUAUCGUAAGCUCCUAAACAAGUAGUACUAAACGUUUUCUAACCAACUUUCAACAUGCUAAAUUGCCCUUCUUUUACCAAGUUCCAUACCACUAAUAUAAAUUGCUAGCUAAAAAGAUAAACUGAAUAGAUAAAAGUAAAAAAAAUGAAAAUGUGAAGGGAAGAAGUUCUUACCAGCUCGACAUAUUCCAUGAGACCCUGUUGUGGGUUUCUACCAGCAAUCAAUUCGAAAAGCAAAACGCCGUAGCUGUACACAUCACUCUUCUUUGUGAAUGACCUUGAUGAUACAUACUCGGGGUCGAGAUAGCCAUAAGUCCCCCUAAUAUUAGAUGCACCACGAGUAACCAUUUCCUCUCUCGAUAGGCCAAAGUCAGCAACCUAAGCCAUAGAUAAAAAAAUAUAUAUUCUCAUUACAUAAAAUAAAUCUUGCUGAGAAAGAGAUGAUAAUUAUCAACAACAUUACUCGAGAGAAAAAAAAAAAAAAAAGGAUAACAGAUGAAACAGAAAAAAGAAAAAUAUAUUGCAUUUCAUUCUGUUUAUGGGAAAGGAGGAAUGGUAAACAGAAUGUCAUUGACGCAUAAUUUAUCAUUGCAAUUCAGUAAGACAAAACAAUAAAUGAGUAAUCAUUCCACAAAUUAUGAGAUAAUUGAUUUAGAAUAUGUAGGUUUGGCAUUGUCUGAACUCAUACUGCAAAAUCCUGAUAAAACAAUUCUAGUACCCUACUGCCAUUGAUACUUUUAGCAUGCAAAACAAUCAAAAAAAAAAAGUGAAACAUUUUUUUUGCAGUGAAGUUCUAAGGAGAAAUGAUAACUUCUUUGAGCCAAUUAUCUGAUACUAGAAAGGGUGAAAGGGUAACAUACUCUAGCUCUCAUGGAAUGAUCCAACAAUAUAUUUGCAGAUUUGAUGUCACGAUGCACUACUGGUGGGGUAGCCUGCAUUAAAGGAUAAGACAACAAACAGAAAUUAAAUUAAAUUAAAUUGAAAGAACUACAUUAAGUUAGACUGACCAAAUAAGCAAUAUGAGAUCUUACUCCAUCAUGAAGGUACUCCAAACCUCUUGCGACAUCCAGAGCUAUACGGACCCUCAGAUCCCAGCUCAACGGUUUACGAUUUUCACCUGAAUCAUUAAUACAUAUGUCAGUGACACAAUAAAGAACAAAAGCCUAGUUCUAGAAUUCACUCAUCUGCUAUAUACCUUGAGACGCCAUCAUUCAUUCAUAAAUUAUCUAUUACAGAUUGUUGAUUCUAUUGCAGAUCUGUUAUCACUCUUAGGGCUUGUUUGGUUCAAGGGUGGAAUUGAAAUGGAUAAUGGAAUGGGAAUGAAUUAGAAUGGUAAUUGAAAUGGCCCACUGCCCCAAGACGUUUGGUUUAUUUGUGGAUUAGGAAUUGGAAUGAGUUAUUCACAUUUCAUUGUUUGGUUCGUAUAAACUAAAAAAAUUAUAGGAUACUAUAAUACUAAUUUUACUCUCAAAUAUAAAUUUAUAUUAUUUAAAAUUUAUGAAAAAUAUAAUACUAUUCUCUAAUAAGUUUUCCAAAAAAAAUAUCAAAUUUAUUUUUAAAAACUUUUAUUGAUGUGGGUUAGGAAUAGGAUUUUGAGAGAUGAUAGGUUUUUUUUUUUAUUUUUUUUCUGAUGAGAAAAGGGUGAAGAGAAGGAAGGUGAGAUGGUCACAUGGGCUUCGAGAACUUAGUGGGCUUCCGGAAUGAAAUCUCAAUCCAGGCUAGAAGACCGGAAUCAAGUUGAAGGCUAAUCGGCCAUUUCCAUUCCAGUUCGGAAUAAGAAUCCCAAACCGAUUCAUGCAAACCAAACAAAAUUAACCGGAUUUGAUCAAACCGAUUCCCAUUCCAUACCCAAAAUGGAUGAACCAAACAAGCCCUUAAUGUCAAAAUACAGAAGAAAUACAAGCCGCCUUGUCAAACAUUUAGCGCUCUCUCUCUCUCUCUCUCUCUCUCUCUCUCUCUCUCUCUCUCUUUCAAAUAUGUUUGUCUGAGACAUACAGUCAAAUCUUUGCAAGAUGCAGUACAGUGUUCAACAUAACAUUCAGAUAUAAAAAAAUGAAAAAGAAAAAAAAAAUGCAACCAACACAUACCAUACAAGUGAGAAGCAAGGCUCCCAUUAGUCAUGUAGACAUAUAAUAGAAUAUGUUGCCCUUUUUCAGCACAAUAGCCCACCAAAUUUACAAGAUUCCUGUGAUGUAAUCUUCCCAGAAGUAGGACCCAAAAAAAACCAAGAAUAUUUAUAGAGAAGACUCGCAAAAAUUUAAACCUAGCUAAAUAGAUACUUAAAAUUAAGGUUUAAUGCAAUAAACCUCCGUUUGGAACUCUUUCUCGCCUUGCUUAGAAUUAUUGGCAAGCACUUUAACUGCCAGUAUCUCGCCAGUAGACAAGUGAGCGUUAUAAACUGAACCAAAUGCUCCUUGACCGAUCAGCGUCGUAAAAUUGCUGGUUGCUUUCUGCAAAUCCCUGAUAGUGAAGACUCAUUAAUGAUGCAGAUUGCCGGUUCGAGAACUCAAACCAGAACGAGAUAAAGUUAAGAAUCACAUAAAAAAAGGUAUAGGAGUGUAGUAGUUUAGUAACGAUCAGAUUUUAGAAUAUAACCAAGCAACUUGAAAUCAGAUUAUGAAUACUAAAGCAUUAUCCUCCAAUUAAUAUAUUGUCUGACUGUCCCAAAAGUGUUACGUAAUAAACAGAGAAGAAUCAUCAGAUAUCUUCGAAGAUAUCCGACAAACACAAAUUUUCUGGUUUCUCCAUUUUCCUUGAAUACUUGUUCCCUUUUUUUUUCCCCUGACUGCAGCCGCUAAACCAUGUUUCUCUAAUCCUUCUCUAAAUAUUCUAAUGGUCUUACAUAUGGAAAAAGCUGGAUAUGCUAACCAAUAAAGUAUGAUUUCUCGAACCAGGUAGACAAUAAACUGAGUUUGGCUGAUAUGCUAAGACUUCAGAAAAUGGAGAAAAACUUGUAAAUAGAAAAGGUUACCUUGAAAUUGUAAAGAAAGCUAUAACAGCAUAAGCAAUCAAUAAAUAUAAACUUAACUAAUGUAAUAUAGCAAGAACAGGCGAAAUUGCCGAUCAUACUUAUACGAAUAUUUGGGUAUCCCAGAAACUGAGACUGCAUUCUUCCUCUUGGGUCCUUCGAGAAAAAGAGACGAUCCCCGUUCUUCGUCAGCAACCCUCGGCGAAUCUGGACGGUUGGUUGAGCCCGAAACCUCCGAACAGUUAUCGAAGCCAUUAGCGCGAAUCGGAAUCAUCGAAGCCCUCCGCGCGCUGCUACUCCCAAUCUGCUGCCGCCUUUUAUGGAAGCUAAUGCAGAGCACUGCAAUGAUAGCCAAAAGUACCCCUAUAACUACCCCAAUUGUGACCCCUAUGAUCAAACUCCAUGACACUCCUUUCAUUUCCUUAAUGAACCCUCAAUUGUAGCAUUUAUGUAGUAUUUGUAUCCACCCCAUUAAAAUCCCUGCACAAAUAGAACCACAACCUGAUUUAAUAAGCCAAAACAGUGACCUUGCAACCUUUUUUUUUUUUGGUUUUUUGGUCUAUUUUGAACGGAUUAGAAGUGUAGAGACCACAAAUUUGGAUCUUUAGUACAAAAGGGUCGAGCUGUAGUUCACAACAAAAAAAUCGCAGUUCAUGACAAUGACACCAAUUUGUCAUUUUGAAAACAACGUGAUGGAUAUCACCCUUCGUAACAACGCAUUACCGUGCCUUCUCAGAUCAAAGAUCGUAUAUUUAACUAAAAAUAAGUACAAUUCAGUAGCUUCUUUUCGCAUCAACACCAUCAAAAUCUCAAGUUUCAGCAGUUUCAACUUAAAAUUGGGACAAAUUACAGCACACAAUCAUAAAUUCCGUCGUUAAAAUAGAGUGAUAUAACGCCACAAGCAAUAGUAAAAAACCAAAAAAAAAAAAAAAAAANACAAAAUCAAAUGAAGAACAUAGAACUCGACGAUCCACAAAUAGGCGACCUCAACUGGAAGUUGCGAUCCCCGAAAAUGGGAGACGAAACGCUUCCCAAAAACCCUAAAAUUCAGUAACCGAAACUCCGAAUUAAACAAAUUUAAAGCGACUCCACGAAAAAAUAGGAGGGAUCAAAAACAAGGACAAAAUCCAGCGAUGUGGAUAUCCCACCUCUUCGAUUCCAAAACGCAAUGGCGAAUGCGAUGGAUCUUUUUCUCUUUUUCUCUUUUUCCCCCCUCUUUUUCGCGAAAUAUCUGAGUAGUCGCAUUGUGUAUAGAGGAGUGGGGGACGAAGACGACGACUUAACUAUUUUAUAAAAUAGAAAAAUUGGAGGGGUGAAAGUGAAAAAAAUAAAUAAAUAAAUCGAAACGUGAGCUUGGGUGAACGGGUUUUAAAUUAUGAUUUGACGAAAAUACCCCCGCCACCGACGCUCGUUUGGGAUUUGUUGACUCGGAAUGUCGGGGGUAGGCGAGGUCAAUUUGCGGCCGUGGCGGCAACUCGAAAAAACAGUUACAGGGACUGAAAAAAAAAAUAGGAAUAAUAAUUAAUAAUUAAUUAAUUGCAUCAUUUAUUUCCACCAUAUCCCUAUAUUUUUUUUAUACCGAUUUUUUCAAUUUCACAGCUAAUAUUGUCCCCUAUUUUAAUUAAAUUCUUUUUAUUAAAAUCAAAAAUAUAUAUUAAUCUUGACAAAAAUCGUCCUCUGUUCUGAUACUGAUAUAACAAGCAUAAUUAAUUUUAUGAUAACAUAAGUGGUAUGAUAGUUUUUGUUAGAUUAGAAUUAACAGUAUAUCCGAUAAAUAAAGUUAAUUUAUAUUUUUUAAAUCAGGUUCUCCGAGAUUUUAUGGUCAGAUUCCAUAUCGGGAUCAUUUAAGUACCCUCCAAAGCUCCAGCUUAAACGAUAGACGUUCAAAAUCGUAGUAUUCUUUCAUGCAAAAAAAAAGAAAAAAAUAUAUAUAUAUAUCUAUAUAUGUUAUAGAUCAUNNNNNNNNNNNNNNNNNNNNNNNNNNNNNNNNNNNNNNNNNNNNNNNNNNNNNNNNNNNNNNNNNNNNNNNNNNNNNNNNNNNNNNNNNNNNNNNNNNNNNNNNNNNNNNNNNNNNNNNNNNNNNNNNNNNNNNNNNNNNNNNNNNNNNNNNNNNNNNNNNNNNNNNNNNNNNNNNNNNNNNNNNNNNNNNNNNNNNNNNNNNNNNNNNNNNNNNNNNNNNNNNNNNNNNNNNNNNNNNNNNNNNNNNNNNNNNNNNNNNNNNNNNNNNNNNNNNNNNNNNNNNNNNNNNNNNNNNNNNNNNNNNNNNNNNNNNNNNNNNNNNNNNNNNNNNNNNNNNNNNNNNNNNNNNNNNNNNNNNNNNNNNNNNNNNNNNNNNNNNNNNNNNNNNNNNNNNNNNNNNNNNNNNNNNNNNNNNNNNNNNNNNNNNNNNNNNNNNNNNNNNNNNNNNNNNNNNNNNNNNNNNNNNNNNNNNNNNNNNNNNNNNNNNNNNNNNNNNNNNNNNNNNNNNNNNNNNNNNNNNNNNNNNNNNNNNNNNNNNNNNNNNNNNNNNNNNNNNNNNNNNNNNNNNNNNNNNNNNNNNNNNNNNNNNNNNNNNNNNNNNNNNNNNNNNNNNNNNNNNNNNNNNNNNNNNNNNNNNNNNNNNNNNNNNNNNNNNNNNNNNNNNNNNNNNNNNNNNNNNNNNNNNNNNNNNNNNNNNNNNNNNNNNNNNNNNNNNNNNNNNNNNNNNNNNNNNNNNNNNNNNNNNNNNNNNNNNNNNNNNNNNNNNNNNNNNNNNNNNNNNNNNNNNNNNNNNNNNNNNNNNNNNNNNNNNNNNNNNNNNNNNNNNNNNNNNNNNNNNNNNNNNNNNNNNNNNNNNNNNNNNNNNNNNNNNNNNNNNNNNNNNNNNNNNNNNNNNNNNNNNNNNNNNNNNNNNNNNNNNNNNNNNNNNNNNNNNNNNNNNNNNNNNNNNNNNNNNNNNNNNNNNNNNNNNNNNNNNNNNNNNNNNNNNNNNNNNNNNNNNNNNNNNNNNNNNNNNNNNNNNNNNNNNNNNNNNNNNNNNNNNNNNNNNNNNNNNNNNNNNNNNNNNNNNNNNNNNNNNNNNNNNNNNNNNNNNNNNNNNNNNNNNNNNNNNNNNNNNNNNNNNNNNNNNNNNNNNNNNNNNNNNNNNNNNNNNNNNNNNNNNNNNNNNNNNNNNNNNNNNNNNNNNNNNNNNNNNNNNNNNNNNNNNNNNNNNNNNNNNNNNNNNNNNNNNNNNNNNNNNNNNNNNNNNNNNNNNNNNNNNNNNNNNNNNNNNNNNNNNNNNNNNNNNNNNNNNNNNNNNNNNNNNNNNNNNNNNNNNNNNNNNNNNNNNNNNNNNNNNNNNNNNNNNNNNNNUAUAAAUUAAUUUAAAAAAACUAGAUAAAAUAUUAUAAUAAAUUAAAGUUUGAUGACUUAAAAUAUUCACAACUAUCACUAUUUGAGACAAAAGGGCGUAAUUUUAUUCGGAUUAAUAUACAACGCCGGGCUGUCUGUGAUUUGUAAAAUUAUAUUAUUUAUCUAUGUAUUUAUCUGUUAGUACUUUAAAUUACAGGGACAAAUGAGUUACUAACAUUGCUUCCAAUUUAUCUCUACCAAAUCUAGGGAUGGUUGGUUGAUUUAGGUGACCAGUUUUUCGGUGAUUUAACUAGGACUUAUUAAUUUCACUUCUUGCUAGUCAACAUAAAUUAGGAUGAUAAUUAAUAGAUUAAGGAAAUCAAUGUGUGGACAUUUCAAUGUUUUCACCGGAUAAUGUGGGAGAUUGUUAUGAAUUUAUGAGUGAUGGAAUAUGUAAAUAAUAAUCGGAGUUAAAGUAAUUUUGAAAUUAAUAGUUUUGGACCAUAAGUUAUUAUUGUAGUGGGUCGGAUAUACAAAUAGUUAUAUUGGAAAAGGUAUUGAAAAAAAAAAUCCCCUCAAAAAAUUGGUUGCUGAUUAUAUUCAUAUUAUUUUUAAUUUUGUUUUGUGUUGUUAAGUAAUUAAGACUGAGAUGAAGGAUGUAGCAAACUACUGUAUACUCCUACACUUUAAAUAUUUAAAUUCUAUUUAAAAAAUAUAGAAAAAAAUUUUUGAUACAAUGAGAGUUUCAUUCUAUGCUAAACUGGCAUUUCCCAUACAUUAAGGUUUCGUUUAGGUUAUGAAUAUUUGUACGAUAAAAAACUCAAUAGAAAAAUAUUUUAUUGUUUUCAUAGUAAGUUUAUUGCGUUUUAAUUAUUCGGGUAGUCGGCUAUGAUAUAGUUUUCUGCGUCCAUGGAAGAACGCAAAAUUAUAUUUUAUAAUAUUUUUUAUCCAACUUCUUCUAUCUGUAGUAUUUAGAUUGACUCUAAUACCGGCCUAACUAUAAUCAAUUUAUUAUCAAACAUUAUUAAUCACACUUAAUUAAUUUUGUACAAAGUGGGAGAAAAGUUACAGGAAAGAAAUUUUAUAUCCACAGAAUUUAUCUUCUUCUCUCAUCCAUCCUUUUUUCCUUUUUCUUUUUUUUUUUUUAUUUAAGUUUGCUUCAAUCCCAUUUCCCCUAAUAAUAUUCUGCUCCCAGAUGCAACUAUAAUUAGAACAGAAAGGCCGUAGGGGUAAAUGCUGGAGAUAUUGUAGUCACUUCAAGUUGCCUGCAUAAACAAAUUAGUCAAAGUUACUUACAUGGACUUCAAUGCAAAAUCCUAAGUUCAAUUCUUGGUAUUACUUGGUUUAAAUCUCCAUUGACAACAUCUAUAAAACCAUAAAUUAAAAAGGGAGGAGAGCACGCAUCAUGAUGUUUCUAUCUAGAAUCUGCUUUAACUAUUUAGUUAAAAUAAUAAUAUACAUCAUCCUCAUAUUACACACACACACACACAUAUAUAAAGAGAGAGAGUUGAGCUAAAAUGCUAUCGAUAGCAAACGGGUUUCGUUGUCAUUCAUUUGUUUCCGAUAAUACAGCCUCCAAAUUAACGAUCAGCAUCAUUGAAUAUGAUCUAUAUCACUUAAAGUAUAUAGAAAUCAAAUUUCAAAUCUUUUUAAUAUCAAUAACCUAAUGAUUAAAGGGUUUCAAAAUUUACAAUUUUAAUGGUCGAUAUGAAGCGUUUUCUUAUUUAAUGGUGUAAAGAUAUCCAAAUCAAUUGAAUUUUGGUUAAAAAAUUCUUUAAACUAUUUAAAACAAGAUCUAUACUCUCGAUCUUGAUUACAAGAUUCCUAUCACCACUUUUUAAAUAAUAUUCAUUUUCAAUUUUGUGUUCACUUGAUGGACAAGAGAACAAUAUCAGAAAAGCGUGAAACUUGAUUUCUAAAUGCUUCAAGUGGUAUAGAUAAUGUUCAAAGUGUCGAUCGUCGAUGUGAAAGCUCUAUCAUCGAAAAUAUGUGGAUGGCACCGAAAUCCGUUUGCUAGCAAUANUUAUGGUCAGAUUCCAUAUCGGGAUCAUUUAAGUACCCUCCAAAGCUCCAGCUUAAACGAUAGACGUUCAAAAUCGUAGUAUUCUUUCAUGCAAAAAACAAUAAAAAAAAAAAAAAAAAAAAAAAAAAAAAGUGUGUGAUAUAAUUGAUUAUAGUUAGGCGGUAUUGACGUCAAUCUAAUACUAUUAGAUAGAAUGAAGUUGAGAAAAAAUAUAUAGAAAUAUAAUUUUGCAUUCUCCGAUGGACCACAGAAAAUAUAUCAUAACCGACUACCCGCAAUAUGUAAAACGUAAUAUUACGUAUGAAAACAAAUAAAAUAUUUUUCUAUUAUCAUUUUUUACCGUAACAUAAUUUUUUCGCAAUUCCAAACGAAACCUUCAUGUGAUGGGAAUGCCAGUGUUAGCAUAGAAAUGAAACUCUCAUUUGGUAUCAAACUUUUUUUUAUAUUUUUAAAUAGAAUUUUAAAUAUUUAAAAGUGUAGGAGUAUACAGUAGUUUGCUUACAAUCCUUCAUCUCAGGUCUUAAUUACUUAACAACACAAAACAAAAUUUAAAAAUAAUAUUGGAAUAUAAUCAGCACCAAUUUUUUGAGGGGAUUUUUUUUUUUUCAAUACCUCUUCCAAUAAUAUACUAUUUGUAAUAAUCCGACCCACUAGCAAUAAUAACUUAUUGGUCCAAACUAUUGAUUCAAAAUACUUAAGUCCGAUUAUUAUUACUAGUAUGUCCAUCAUUCAUAAAUUCAUAACGCUCUCCCACAUUAUCCGAUGUGGAAUUAUUAGGAUGUCACUAUUGUAUUCUCUAAUCUAUUAACUAUCAAUUCCUAAUUUAUUGUUGACUAGGCAAGAAGUAGAUAAUUAAUUAAGUCCUAGUUAAAUCAGCAAAAAACUGGUCACCUAAAUCAACCACCAAUCCUAGAUUUGGUAGAUGAUAAAUUGGAGAGGCAAUGUUUAGGGUAUUUUCAUUUGUCCUGUAACUUUAAAGCACUACAGAUAAAUAGCAUAGUAAAUAAUAUAUUUUACAAAUCACAAGACAGCUCGACGUUGUAUAUUAUCAUCCGAGUAAAUUACGCUUUUGGUCCUCAAAUAGUGAUAGUUGUGAUAUUUUAGUCAUCAAACUUUAAUUUAUUACAAUAUUUAUCUAGUUUUUUAAAAUUAUUGUAAUUAAAUUCUACAUUCUAAUUUAAUUAUUUGAAUUUGGCUUGUAGUUGAUGUGACAGUAAUAUGAUUAUAUUAUAGUUUGACGGCACGGCACCAUGUUAUUAUUUAAUUAAAUCAACGGGUUAUCAAGUAUAUAUAUAUAAUGGGGCUACUAUGCUUCUGGAAACACGGAGACUUCCGUGCUUCCAGGUCGUUUUUGAUGUUGCAACUUUCGAAUCGUCGAUCGGCUCCAUUAAACUUGAUUUAAAGUAUUUGAAGUACCUAGAAAAUAAAUUUUGUAAUUUUUCGAUAUCAUUUGCCUAAUGAACAAAGGGGCUCAAAAUCAACGGCUAAGAAUAAAAGUCUUACAAAACGUGACAAUAUGACAUUAAAAUUUUAGAUCAAAGAUAUUGAUCUUAUUUUAUAUAGUAUAAAGAAUUUUCUAUCAAAAUUUUACGUAAUUUGGAUAUUUCUACACCGUUAAACUUGCAAACGGCUCACUACGGUCAUUAAAAUUAUUUGAUUUUGAGCCCCUUCGAUCACUAGGCAAAUGAUAUUGAAAAAUCAUAAAAUUUAUUUUCUAAGUACUUCAAAUACUCUAGAUCAAAUUUAACAGAGCCGAUCGACGAUUCGAAAGUCGAAACAUCGAAAACGACCUGGAAGGACAGAAGGCUCCGUGCUUUCAGAAGUAUAGUAGCCUCACUCAUAUAUAUAUAUAUAUAUAGUAGGGCUACUAUACUCUUAUGAGUAUAGUGCCCUUCGCACUUAUAAGUUAUUUUCGAUAAUAGAACUUCCGAAUCUACGAUUCACUCCGUUAAAUAUGAUCUAAAGUAUUCGAAACUUCUAAAAAAUAAAUUUAAUAAUUUUUCGAAACAUAAUAAAAUCAAUCGAGCGAGCAUAAAAUGAACGGUUGAAAUCGAACGACGUCCUAAAAAUAAUGAUCGGAUCCUUCAAUUUAAGAUCAGAAUUAUUGAUCUUUUUCUAGAUAGUGAAUAAAAUUCUCUAUCAAAAAUUCAAUCUAUUCUAUUUUUUUACACCAGUAAAUUAGUAAGUAUUCUAUACCGGCCGUUAAAAAUUAUAAAUUUUGCAACCUUUUAAUUAUAAGAUAAAUAAUAUCAAAAAAUUAUGAAAUUUAAUUUCUAAAAAUUUUUAAUACACUUAAUAAUGUUUAACGAUAUUGAUCGUCUAUUCAGAAACUCUACCAUCGAAAAUAAUUUAUAAAUACGAGGACCAUCAUACUUAGGCGAACUCUAUAUAUAUACACACNNNNNNNNNNNNNNNNNNNNNNNNNNNNNNNNNNNNNNNNNNNNNNNNNNNNNNNNNNNNNNNNNNNNNNNNNNNNNNNNNNNNNNNNNNNNNNNNNNNNNNNNNGUAGGCCCCCGCCCUCCUACGGCGGCGCCGCCGCACUCCGCCCUCCCCGGGAGCGGGCCGCUCCUUCUCCUGCGGCCCCCGCCGCUCCGACGCCGCCUCCUCCGGCCGCGCCGCUCGCCACCCGCACGAAACCCACUCCGCCAAAAGCCUCAUCAAGUACGAAAACACUAUCUCUCUCUCCCUCUCCCUCUCCCUCUCCCUCUCUCUCUCCUUGCUUCGAAUUGGGACCUAUUAGGGUUAGGGUUAGGGUUUGGCGCAGGGUUUCGCACUUGCCGAGUCCUUUUUUUUUAUUUAAUUUACGAGAACGCCACUUUGGACUCCGACGAGGCGGCGAGUGUGUGCUCGUUCGCUCUGCAUAGGGAGCCACUUAAAUAGAGCGACGCGGCGAUGAUGCGUUUGCCGAUAAUGCCCUCGCCUCGAUGCGACACCUGCAGGGUUAUUUUCGGAAAGUUAAUGUGAUUCGUUGGAUUUUUUUUGAGGACGCAUUUAAUUGGAUGCCCCGCCGUUCACGCCACGUGUGAUUAGAUUGGACGGUCGGUGUUUCUCUUUCUUUCGAUUUGAUCACCCUUUAACGUUGUGAGAUACUAUUUAUUUCUCGAGUGACAUUAUUAAUUAUAAUAAUUAAUUUAUAUUUUUUGUUUGAAAUUUUGAUUAUACAUUUUUAAAAUUUUUUAUUUUAACAACCUAGAUUUUAAAUUUAAGCUUUGAGGGACAAUUGAGAUCUUUCAUUAGCUUAUUACUCAAUAACCUACUAUGUAUUUGGUAUUUUAUCAAUUUAAAACUAAUACUAAUAUGUGUUAAUAAAAUUAUCUAUUUAAGUUUUCUCUUAAGGAGUUUGAUGCGAGCAUGGCAUGUUUAUCCAACGAUAUUAUAAAAUUACCGUUGUUUUUCAAAAGCUUGAGCGGCUAGAAAACGGUGUGCCUUUAAUAUUCAUGUAUAAACUCGAAUUUUUAGCAAAGCCGAAGUUGUGAACUUGAAAUAAAUAAAAGUAAAUUAAAUAAUACUAUAAGUCCAAUAAAACUCGAAUUCAGAACCUCCUAUUCUGAUAUCAUAUAUAUAUAUAUAGAGAGAGAGAGAGAGUGGGCUGGUAUGCUUCUAAAAGUACGGAACUCUCCGUGCUUCCAAGUUGUUUUCGAUGUUCGGACUUUCAAAUCGACGAUCGGCUCCGUUAGAGUUGAUCUAUAGUAUUUGAAGUACCUAGAAAAUAAAUUUUGUGAUUUUUCAAUAUUAUUUGCCUAGUGAUCGAAGGGGCUCAAAAUUAAUAAUUUUAAUGGCCGUAGUGAGCCGUUUGCAAGUUUAACAGUGUAGAAAUAUCCAAAUCACAUGAAAUUUUGAUAGAAAAUUCUAUUCACUACAUAGAUAAAGAUCAAUAACUCCGAUCUUGCAUUGAAGGAUCCGAUCAUGCUUUUUAGGAUGUCGUUCGAUUUUGACCGUUCAUUUUAUGCUCACUUGAUGGACUUUAUUAUGAUUUGAAAAAUUUACGAAAUUUAUUUUCUAAAACUUUCAAAUACUCUAGAUCAUAUUUAACGGAGUGAAUCGUCGAUUCGGAAGCUCCAUCAUCAAAACGAGUUCGUGUCCGGGUUUGAAACUUGACUAGACAAUGAGGACUUGUACAAUUGACACUAUUAAGUGAAUAAAAAGCCAAAGUUAAGCUUCCUGUUAAACUUGAUUUAGCAUAUGGUCUAAUUGACGUUCAAUAUAAAUAAUCAGCUUGUUCGUGAUUUCGCGUUGCAAUAAUUCAAUAUUUUAUAGACCGUAUUUUAUCUGAUUAAUCUUUUCAGUAAUACAGUGUAAGAAUGGGAAGUUCGAGGUCCACCUCAAUUAUAAAUGAAAAUUACUAUUCUUACAAACAAUAUAUUUUUUUAAUCAAUUAAAUAGGAUCGCAUAAAUAAAUGUCGUACUUGUUUUGUCAUUAUAAAAAAGAAAAAAGAAAAAAGAAAUUAAAGAGGUGUGGUAAUGGAGUAUACGUCGUAGCAUCUAAACUAGAGCACUAGCUUUGGACAAAUGGCGUGUGAUUGAGAGAGGUUAAGUCCCCUACGUUGUUACAUGUGGACGAGGAUAUUUGUAUUAUUAUAUAUAUAUAAUAAUAAUAAUAAUAAUAAUAAUAAUUAUACUGUACGACGACGUGUCACGCUAAUUAAUUUCGACCGCGAUGGCAUUUCCGUUAUUGUUCCCACAUCCAGGGGCAUAAAUAUAAGACCAAAAAUUAACUCGAGAGAGUGGAAGCGAGCGAGAGGGAGAGAGAGAGAGAGAGAGAGAGAGAGAGAGCGCGCGAACCUGAACUCGCCGGUGCGAGCGCGGGGCGAAACCCUACCUGAGGAUCCGGCGCUGAUGAGCUUCGUCGCAGGGCCCGCGGCGGCUGCGGCGGCGUCGGCGAGUGGCGCCGCCUCCGUAGCGGCGUUCUCUUCGUAGAUGUCCCCGAGCGAGGGCCUCCAAGGAUCGGCCGCGCCGCCGCCGCCGCCGCCGCCACCGCCGUAGGCCGCCGCCCUCCUACGGCGGCGCCGCCGCACUACGCCCUCUCCGGGAGAGGGCCGCUCCUUCUCCUGCGGCCCCCGCCGCUCCGACGCCGCCUCCUCCGGCCGCGCCGCUCGCCACCCGCACGAAACCCACUCCGCCAAAAGCCUCAUCAAGUACGAAAACACUAUCUCUCUCUCCCUCUCCCUCUCCCUCUCCCUCUCUCUCUCCUUGCUUCGAAUUGGGACCUAUUAGGGUUAGGGUUAGGGUUUGGCGCAGGGUUUCGCACUUGCCGAGUCCUUUUUUUUUAUUUAAUUUACGAGAACGCCACUUUGGACUCCGACGAGGCGGCGAGUGUGUGCUCGUUCGCUUUGCAUAGGGAGCCACUUAUAUAGAGCGACGCGGCGAUGAUGCGUUUGACGAUAAUGCCCUCGCCUCGAUGCUACACCUGCAGGGGUAUUUUCGGAAAGUUAAUGUGAUUCGUUGGAUUUUUUUUGAGGACGCAUUUAAUUGGAUGCCCCGCCGUUCACGCCACGUGUGAUUAGAUUGGACGGUCGGUGUUUCUCUUUCUUUCGAUUUGAUCACCCUUUAACGUUGUGAGAUACUAUUUAUUUCUCGAGUGACAUUAUUAAUUAUAAUAAUUAAUUUAUAUUUUUUGUUUGAAAUUUUGAUUAUACAUUUUUAAAAUUUUUUAUUUUAACAAUCUAGAUUUUAAAUUUAAGCUUUGAGGGACAAUUGAGAUCUUUCAUUAGCUUAUUACUCAAUAACCUACUAUGUAUUUGGUAUUUAUCAAUUUAAAACUAAUACUAAUAUUGUUAAUAAAAUUAUCUAUUAAGUUUUCUCUUAAGGAGUUUGAUGCGAGCAUGCAUGUUUAUCCAACGAUAUUAUAAAAUUACCGUUGUUUUUCAAAAGCUUGAGCGGCUAGAAAACGGUGUGCCUUUAAUAUUCAUGUAUAAACUCGAAUUUUUAGCAAAGCGAAGUUGUGAACUUGAAAUAAAUAAAAUAAAUUAAAUAAUACUAUAGUCCAAUAAAACUCGAAUUCAGAACCUCUAUUUCUGAUAUCAUAUAUAUAUAUAUAGAGAGAGAGAGAGUGGGCUGGUAUGCUUCUAAAAGUACGGAACUCUCCGUGCUUCCAAGUUGUUUUCGAUGUUCCGACUUUCAAAUCGACGAUCGCUCCGUUAGAGUUGAUCUAUAGUAUUGAAGUACCUAGAAAAAAAUUUUGUGAUUUUCAAUAUUAUUUGCCUGUGAUCGAAGGGCUCAAAAUUAAUAAUUUUAAUGGCAUGAGCCGUUUGCCAAGUUUAACAGUGUAGAAAUAUCCAAAUCACAUGAAAUUUUGAUAGAAAAUUCUUUAUACCAUAUAAAACAAAAUCAAUAACUUUGAUCUAAAAUUUUAAUGUCAUAUCAUCAUAUUUUGUAAGAUUUUUAUUUUCAGCCGUUGAUUUUAAGCCACUUGAUCACUAGACAAAUGAUAUCGAAAAAUCGCAAAAUUUAUUUUCUAGAUACGAUCGACUUCGUACUCAUAAAUCAUUUUAGAUGAUAGGAAUUUCGAAUCAAUGAUCGGAAUCAUUAAAGUUGAUAUAGAGUAUUUAAAGUGUUUAGAAAAUAAAUUUUAUAAAUUUUAUAAAUUAUUUAUGUAGUUAUCAAAGAAUUACAAAAUUGAUAAUUUUUUACAGUGUAAAUCGUUUUGCUUGUUUAACAGUGUAAAAUAAUACAAACAGCUCAAAUUUUUGCUAGAAAAUUUUUUAUAUUAUUUAAAUAAUAUUUGAUAACUCUGAUCAUGAAUUGAAAAUGUCUAACAUCUAUUUUCACAAGAUACCGGUCAUUUGUCGACUAUUCAAUGAACUUGAUAACGAAUUUUAAAAUUUAUGAAAUUUAGUUUCUAGACGUUAUAAAUAUUUUAAAUCAACUUUAACAGUUCCGAUCAUCGAUUCGAUAUUUCUAUCAUCUAAAACGACUUAGGAGGCAAAGGCAUCUGUCCUCCUAAAAGAAUAAUUACUGGACUCUAUAUUUCUAUACUAUAUAUAAAGGCACGUAUUUCAAAUUUGGGUCUAUCGAUAGACUCAUUUUUUAGCGGGAAAAAAUAUUGUUUUCUCUUUCCUUACAUAAAAUAAAUAACGUAAUGAAACAAACUUUUAACUUCUAUUUAUCUCUAAAAUAGAAAAAAAAUAUACUUAUCCAAAUUUUUGCCAACCGAAAGAUAUUUACUGUGAAUCUAUAUUUUAAUUAAAAUUUAAUUUAAUUUUUUUAUCUCUAAAAUAGAAAAAAAAAAUCAUGCUUAUCCAAAUUUUUGCCAGAAUAUCUACUGUAAAUCUAUAUUUCAAUUCAAAAUAUAAAAUUAAUUUAAAAUUUAAAAUUUUGGGACUAUCUAUAUAUUACAAUGAAAAUAAUUUAAAAGAUAGAUUGGUCGAUAAAUUUGUAAAUCAUAAUUUUGAAUUAAUAUGAUAUACAAAUUUAUGAUCAAUUUGUAAAAAAUUAUCUCAAAUAAGAACAAACAAUUAUGAUCAAUUUGUUAAAAAAAAACAUUCAUACCUAUCUAUAACUUCAAUUCGACGAACGGUUAUGAUCAAUUGGUUAAAAAUAUUGAAAAUAAAAAUGAANNNNNNNNNNNNNNNNNNNNNNNNNUUAAUUUUUUGACGUCAAUUUACCUUACGAUCAAGAGGUCAAAAUUUGACAAUUUUUAAGCAGGCCGGUAUGGAUAUCAUUUCCUAGUUUAACGUUAUGUAGAAAGAAUCGAAAUUUGUUGAUUUUGAUAGAAAAUUCUAUCAAUACAUAGAUAAAGAUACUAACUCCGAUCUUCAUUGAGCGAUCCGAUCAUGGCUUUUAGGAUGUCGUUUCGAUUUUGACCGUUCAUUUUAUGCAUCACUUGAAUGUGACUUAUUGUGUUAUGAUUAAAAUUUACGAAAUUUAUUUUUCUAAAACUUUCAAAUAACUCUAGAUCAUAUUAACGGAGUGAAGCGUCGAUUCGGAACCAUCAUCAAACGAGUUCUGUGUCCGGGUUUGUAAACUUGACUAGACAAUGAGGACUUGACAUUGACACUAUUAAGUGAAUAAAAAGCGCCAAAGUAAGCUUCCUGCUUAAACUUGAUGUUAGCAUUAUGCGUCUAAGUUGACGUUCAAUAUAAAAUAAUCAGACUUGUCGUGUAUUCGGCUGCAAUAAUUCAAUAUUUUAUAGACCGAUUUUAUCUGAUUAAUCUUUUACAGUAAUACAGUGUAGAAUGGAAUUCGAGGUCCACCUCAAUUAUAAAUAUGAAAAUUACUAUUCUUACAAUAACAAUAUAUUUUUGUUAAUCAAUUAAAUAGGAUCCAGCAAUAAAUAAAUGUCGUACUUUUUUUGUCAUUAUACAAAAGAAAAAGAAAAAAGAAAUUAAAAGGUGUGGUAAUGGAGUAUCGUUCGUAGCAUCUAAACUAGAGCACUAGCUUUGGACAAAUUGCGUGUGAUUGAGAGAGGCUUAGUCCCCAUACGUUGUUACAUGUGGACGAGAUAUUUGAUUAUUAUAUAUAAUAUAUAGAUAAUAAAAUAAUACUAUAAUAAUUUACUGUACGAGACGUUACGCUAAUUAAGUUUCGACCGCGAUGGCCAUUUGCCGUUAUUGUUCCCACAUCCAUGGGCAUAAAUAUUAGAACCAAAAAUUACAUCGAGAGAGUGAAGCGCAGCGAGAGGGAGAGAGAGAGAGAGAGAGAGAGGAGAGAGAGCGCCGCGGAAACCGUGAACUCGCCGUGCGAGCGGCGGGCGAAACCUUACCUGAGGAUGCGGCGCUGAGAGCUUCGUCGCCAGGGCCCGCGGCGGCUGCGGCGUGUCGGCGAGUGUCGCGCGCCUCGCGUAGCGGCGUUCUCUUCGUAGAUAGUCCCGAGCGAGGGCCUCAAGGAUCGGCCGCGCCGCCGCCGAGGCCGCCGUAGGCCCGCCUCUACGGCGCGGCCGCCGCACUCCGCCCUCCCCGGAGCGGGGCGCCUUCCUCCUGCGCCCGCCGCUCCGACGCCGCCUCCUCCGGGCCGCGCCGCUCGCCACCGCCCACGAAACCACUCCGCCAAAAGCCUCAUCAAGUACGAAAACACUAUCUCUCUCUCCCCUCUCUCCCUCUUCCUCCUCUCUCCUUGCUUCCAAUUGGGACCUAUUAGGGUUAGGGUUAGGGUUUUGGCCAGGGUUUCGCACUGUGCCGAGUCCUUUUUUUUAUUUAAUUUACGAGAGACGCACACUUGGACUCCGACGAGGCGGCGAGUGUGUGCUCGUUCGUCUGCAUAGGGAGCAGUUAAAUAGAGCGACGCGGCGAUGAUGCGUUUGCCGAUAAUGCCCUCGCCUCUUAUGCGACACUGCAGGGUUAUUUUCGGAAAGUUAAUGUGAUUCAGUUUGGAUUUUUUUGAGGACGCAUUUAAUUGGAUGCCCCGCCGUUCACGCACGUCGUGAUUAGAUUGGACGGUCGUGUUUCUCUUUUCUUUCGAUUUGAUCAACCUUUAACGUUGUGAGAUAUUAUUAUUUUCGAAUGACAUUAUUAAUUUAUAAUAAUUAAUUUAUAUUUUUGUUUGAAAUUUUGAUUAUACAUUUUUAAAAUUUUUAUUUUAACAACCUAGAUUUUAAUUUAAGCUUUGAGGGACAAUUGAGAUCUUUCAUUUAGCUUAUUACUCAAUAACAUACUAUGUAUUUGGUAUUUUAUCAAUUUAAAACUAAUACUAAUAUUGUUAAUAAAAUUAUCUAUUAAGUUUUCUUAAGGAGUUUGAUGCGAGCAUGGCAUGUUUAUCCAACACGAUAUUAUAAAAUUACGUUGUUUUCAAAAGCUUGAGCGGCUAGAAACGGUGUGCUUUAAUAUUCAUGUAUAAACUCGAAUUUUUAGCAAAGCGAAGUUGUGAACUUGAAAUAAAUAAAAUAAAUUAAAUAAUACUAUAGUCCAAUAAACUCGAAUUCAGAACCUCUAUUUCUGAGUAUCAUAUAUAUAUAUAUAGAGAGAGAGAGCAGAGUGGCUGUAUGCUUCUAAAAGUACGGAACUCUGCCGUGCUUCCAAGUUGUUUUCGAUGUUCGCGGACUUUCAAAUCGACGAUCGGCUCCGUUAGAGUUGAUCUAUAGUAUUUGAGAAGUACCUAGAAAAAAAUUUUGUGAUUUUUCAAUAUUAUUUGACCGGUGAUCGAAGGGCUCAAAAUUAAUAAUUUUAAUGGCAGUGAGCCUUUGCCAAAGUUUAACAGUGUAGAAUAUCCAAAUCACAUGAAAUUUUGAUAGAAAAUCUUUUAUUACCAUAUAAAACAAAUCAAUAACUUUGAUCUAAAAUUUUAAUGUCAUAUCAUCAUAUUUUGUGUAGAUUUUUAUUUUCAGCGUUGAUUUUAAGCCACUUGAUCACUAGACAAAUGAUAUCGUAAAAAUCGGCAAAAUUUAUUUUCUAGAUACGAUCGACUUCGUACUCAUAAAUCAUUUAGAUGAUAGGAAUUUCGAUCAAUGAUCGGAAUCAUUAAAGUUGUAUAUAGAGUUUUUAAAGUGUUAGAAAAUAAAUUUUAUAAAUUUUAUAAAUUAUUAUGUAGUUAUCAAAGAAUUAAAAAUUGAUAAUUUUUACAGUGUUAAAUCGUUUUGCUUGUUUAACAGUGUAAAAUAAUCAAACAGCUCAUUGCUAGAAAAUUUUUUAUAUUUAUUUUUUUUUUUAAAUAAUAUUGAUAACUCUGAUCAUGAUAUUGAAAUGUCUAACAUCUAUUUUCACAAGAUACGGUCAUUUGUCGACUAUUCAAUGAACUUGAUAACGAAUUUUAAAAUUAUGAAAUUUAGUUUCUAGACGUAUAAAUAUUUAAAAUCAACUUUACAGUUCCGAUCAUCGAUUCGAUAUUUCUAUCAUCUAAACGACUUAGGAGCAAAGGCAUCAUGUCCUCCUAAAAAAUAUUACUGGACUCUAUAUUUCUAUACUAUAUAUAAGCACGUUAUUUCAAAUUUGGGUCUAUCGAUAGACUCAUUUUUUUACGGGAAAAAUAUUGUUUUCUUUUCCUUACAUAAAAUAAAUAACGUAAUGAAACAAACUUUUAACUUCAUUUUAUCUCUAAAUAGAAAAAAAAAUCUAUAUUAUCCAAAUUUUUGCCAACCGAAAGAUAUUUACUGGUGAAUCUAUAUUUUAAUUAAAAAUUUAAUUAAUUUUUUUAUCUCUAAAAUAGAAAAAAAAAUCAUGCUUAUCCAAAUUUUUGCCAGUAAUAUCUAUGUAAAUCUAUAUUUCAAUUUCAAAUAUAAAUUAAUUUUAAAUUUAAAAUUUUGGACUAUCUAUAUAUUACAAUGAAAAUAAUUUAAAAAUAGAUUGGUGCGAUAAUUUGUAAAUCAUAAUUUUGAAUUAAUAUGCAUAUACAAAUUUAUGAUCAAUUUGUAAAAAAUUAUCUUCAAAUAAGAACAAACAAUUAUGAUCAAUUUGUUAAAAAAAAACAUUCAUACCUAUCUAUACUAAAUUCGACGAACGGUUAUGAUCAAUUGGUUAAAAAAUAUUGAAAAUAAAAAUGAAACUAUUAUGUUCAAUCUGUUAAAAAUUAGCAAUUCUAUCCAUUUAUUUUAUAUUAAAAUUAAUUUGAGUUUAAAUUUUGAAUUAAAUUUAAUUUUUGAUUUUUGAUAUCAAAUCUAUCCAUCUAUUUAUAUUAAAUUUAAAAUUGAUAUUGUAGAUAUUUUCUAAUAAAAUGUAACAUAUAAAUUUAGAAAAUAUUUUAUUCUAAAUUUUUGAAUAAUAUGAUUUACAAAUGUUUAUUGAUUUAAAUAAAUUAAAAUAAUUGUUACGUGCAGUUGCAGUAUGCUCAACUAGUAUAUAUAUUAUAUAUAUUAUAUAUAUUAUAUGGGUCCGGCUAUAUACUAUUAUGAGUACGAUCGCCCUCGUACUCAUAAGUGUUUUCGAUGAUAGCUGCUUCCGAAUCGACGAUCCACACCGUUAAACGUUAUUUACAACAUUUAAACUUUUAGAAAUCAAAUUUAUAAUUUUCGACAUCAUUUACCUUACGAUCAAGAGGUCACACAUUUGGACAAUUUUUAACGGUCGCGUAUGAGAUAACUUGCUAGUUUACGGUGUAGAGAAUCGAAAUUGUUGAAUUUUUGAGAUAGAAAAUUCUUCACUGCAUAGAUAAAAUCAAUAACUCGCAUUCUUGAAUUGAAGGAUCUGAUCAUCCUUUUUUAGGGCGUCUGUAACGAUUUGACCGUUCAUUUUAUGCCACUUGAUGGACUUUAUUAUGAAUUCGAAAUUUACGAAAUUUAUUUUCUAGAAGUUUCAAAUCUCUAGAUCAUUUUAAUGGAGUGGAUCGUCGAUUCGGAGCUCCAUCAUCAAAACAACUUAUGGAGUACGAGGGCUCCAAUACUCAUAAUAGUAUAAUAGCCAUGGCCAUAUAUAUAUACAUAUAUAUAUAUAUAUUGAAACAAUCGUUGUUCUUAAUAGUUACGACAUCGAUUCGCGGAUCCUUAUCAUCUUAAAACACUUAGGAGGACGAAAAUCUCGUCCUUCUAAAAGGAUAGUAGCUGAACUAUAUAUAUAUAUAUAGUAGAGAGAGAGAGGAGAGAGAGAGAGAAGGAGAGAGAAGAGAGAGAGUUUUUUUUCUUUUUGAGAGAUAGGUAAACGCUACCGCUUAGUUUAUUUUAUUUAAAAAUAAAUUAGCUAGAAAUGUGAAAUAACUAGGAUUUCGAACUUGGGGACUUCGAUACCAACCAUCAAGUCCUUUGCACUUGCUCCAGGGACGUCAGUAGAGAUCGGAGUUAUUGAUAUUUAUCUAAGUAUGGAGAUACAAUUUUCUAUCAAAAUUCAAGUUAUUCCAAUUCUUUUACCACCGUUAAACUAGCAAGUACGGUCAUUAAAAAUUGUCAAAUUUUGUGACAUUUGAUCAUGAGGGUAAAAUGAUGUCGAAAAAAAUUUGAAAUUUGAUUUCUAGAAGUUUAAAUAUGCUCUAGAUAAUAUUUAAACGGUAUGGAUUGUCGUUGUGAAAACUCUAUCAUCUGAAAAUGACUUAUGAAUACAAGAGCGAUCGUAUUCAUAAGAAAUAUAGUAGCCGGACUCAUAUAUAUAUAUAUAUAUAUAUAUAUAUAUGAAACAAUCGUUGUUUCUUAAAAGAUUAAGCUGAUAGAGAACCGUCGAUAUACUACUAACAAGACUUGUUCGUACAAGGGAUACAAAUUUAAGGACAAAAUUGCUAAAAUCGAAGAUCUGAAAAACAUAAGUGGAAAUCAAAGUAUCACACUGUAGGUAUUUGAUUGCACAUAAAUCUCAUUUUGUGGUCUUAAAAGUGGAGCUUAUGGAUGGUAGUUUUCUCCAUCACAUUUACUCAAAAUUCAAGACAAUUCCUUCCACCUCAACAAUUUCUAGAUCUUUCCCAGAAGCCCAUAUACCGAAAUGUUGCAGUCACUAAGAUUCUUUGCUGAUGCGCUUUCGUUAACUGGUGUGGACACCAGAAGCUGAGGAAUGCUGCAGAUGAAUAGUCUCUGUACACAAUAAGUGCUUAUUUACCACUUUGUGACAAAAUGUGCCUCAUUUGGUGCUGCUUCUAGGGACUUCAGAGGAAAAAAUUAAAAGAAGAGAAAAAAAAAAAAUCUGGACUGUGCAACUUAAUGCUGCAACAUUUGCCCUGUUCCCUGAAAUGGUGGGCUCUUGCUCCCACCAAUAGAUCUCCCUCCCCUGUUGGGUCCCUGUCAUACAAUAAAUUUUUGCUUGAGUGGCCUCUUUUGAUGUUGUUACUCAUGUUUGAAUAGUAAAAAUACUUUAUUUGAACAAUAAUAGCCCAGCAUAAUCAAUAACUUCACCAUCAGAGUGCUAAAAUUUUAUCUCUAACAACUAUUAUCAGCAUGUUUUGUCAAUUGAUUUGUUCAUCAUUCAUUAUCAUGCUAGAGAAGACCAUAUUCGGUUUUCUAGAUGCUUAUAUCGAUUAGUCUAUAUUGUUUCUACAAUCUUCUACUUAGAUUACGACAAACUAGAGGACAUACUACUGGCUAUUUGGAUUGCGUAUAUUGUUGCUGUUCUGAAACAUUGCAUGUCUGUUAACAGAUAAAAAUAUCUCGGAGUGGACCACUGUUGAGGGGGUAUUAAAUCGAUACGGACAGCGAGAUCAAAUGUAGCAAAUUGUCCGCGAAAGUCGAAUUCUGUGACAAGGCACCUGAUACAAGUCCUGUGAAAUAUGACUGAAGAAGAUGGAGUUGUUUUUGUCGGACUAAACCACAUGAAAUUGCCAACGCAUACAGCCAAGGGAGUUCUUGUGGUUGAUGGAAGAUGCUGUUUUAUGAGCACAAGUUUUUUCUCCGAGGGUGGAUUAGAUUUGAUUCUAGUCAGGGAAACAACAUGCUUAGGAAUGCAAUUGGUGGGAGUUUUAAUCCCGUAAGCUUCGCGAUGCAGCAUAAAUGUUUGAAUUGACAAUUCAUGAGACUAUAUCUGGAUUUGUGGAUCAUAUGUUUCGCUAACAUACAAAUUUCUUUUCAUUUUCGAUCUGACUUUCGAGCAAUAACUGAUGUUACAGCAACUAGGCUCAAGAACACCACAAAAUUCUUCGGAUCCAAGGCCAAACAGAAGCAACUAUGAAAGGAAAAAAAACAAAGAAUAGCAGUGAUCCAACUUCAAUUACCGAAACUGCAUAUUUAGUGUUGUUCUUUUCUUAAAGUUUGCACGAAAAGCUCUGAUUCACACUGCUUUGAGGUUCAUGGAUUUUGUUUGAUGAACAAUGAUUUUUUUCCGUGUUUCAUAAUACGGUUAACCAACAUGUUAACUAAUCGAUUACGAUAAAUUGGAUCGGAUUUUGGAGUUUUUUCUUCUGCAGUACCUCGACGUGACAUGAGCGUGAAAGAGGUUCAAGAAUCAGUUUUCUUUUUAUAAGGGCUAAAAACGAAUCACUUAUUUUGGCUUUUUAACCCCAUAUUGUAGGGUGGAUCUUGAAAGAUAUGAAAGAUCUCCCUCCAAGCCGUACAUACGACUUUCAUCGAAUACGGCUUACAGCAGGCACCGUCCGAAGAAUAAAAACUACCUAGGUCAAAUCUGCCGUUUAUAUGGCUUUGAGAUUCAGGCGUUUCAUAUAAUGAACGGUAGAUUUAAUGGUCUUAGGGUUUGGACUCUCUAACAAAUCUUUGUUAAUGUAGAACAAAACUUUCGGAAACAGUCCCCACGUUCUGUGAGACCACCAAACUCAUCACGAACUUGUAGCGGAACCAAGCCCUCUUUUGAAAACCAAGUACUCUUUUGUUUUCAAUUUUCUUCUUGUUUUUGAAACUGUAGUGGUAUAUAGUCAUAUAAUGGAAAGAGCACAAGAAGCCCACCACUCUGCUAAGAAUGGAGAAUGGAGAACUGGUUCCAUCCUAAAGGCUGAAUAAAGUGAGGUCAGAAGAAUAAAGUGGCCAAGUUGAUUCAUCUUUUUACAGAAUAUGUUCCAACCAUGCCCAAAGAGAAAAAAAAAAACAAAAACAAAAACAAAAACACAUCAAUAUCUCCCUUUGUUACGAUAUAUUUAUAUAGUUUAUCUAUAUUAGGAUACUGUAUAUUAUUUGUCUUUUAUAGAGUAGGAUUAUAUAAUAUGUAAUCUUAAUUAUACUCUUAUUAUAGUAGUCAUUGUUAUUAUAAUAAGAAAAUCUCUUGUACUAUAUAUAUUCGAUAAUACAACCUAAGAGGGUAUACUCUUUUACCAUUCUUUCAUGGUAUCAGAGAGGAAAUCCUAAUUUGGGAAUAUCGAUCCAUAGCCACUACAAGUCUCACCUUCUUCUAUAGGUAUUUUUUUCUUUUUGGUGUUCUACCUCUCAUUUUUCUUGGACUUCUAUCUCUCUGCUACAAUACUGUUACAGUGUGCUAUAGUAAAUAGAUGCUCUUAUUGCCACUUUACAACGUGAAUUUGCCACGACGGAUCUCGGACUGUUGCAUUAUUUUUUGGGUAUUGAUGUUCAUCGCUCCCCCUCUGGUCUUCAUCUAUCUUGGCAAAAAUAUGCGCAUCAACUACUUCAGCGACAUGACUUUUUAACAGUAAGUCCGUUUCUACUCCUCUUUCGCUGACGUCUUGUCUCUUUUCUCAUGAGAGGUGUUUUCUUGAGGAUCCAUACGCUUAUCGUCAGAUAGUUUGUGCUCUCCAGUAUCUCAUUUUCACUAGACCGAACGUUUCAUAUGCCGUCAACUCUGUUGCCCAGUAUCUGCAUACACCUUGUGAACCGCACAUGCAAGCGGUCAAGCGUUUUCUGCGUUAUAUUCGGGAAACGCUGUCUUAUGGUCUUCCUAUCUCUCACUGCGACAAUCCUUCUCUUGUGACCUUCGCCAAUGCUGAUUGGGCUGGUUGUCCAAAUACACGUCGCUCUACUUCUAGAUAUUGCAUUUUUUCGGGCCAAAUCUUAUCUCCUGGUCCACUAAGAAACAACCCACAAUUUCUCAUUCCAGUUUUGAAGUGGAGUAUCGUGAUGUCGCCUACACAUUUGCUGAAACUGUUUGGAUUCGUCGUCUAAUUCAUGACCUUUGUGUUUUCUUAUGGUGCCCUAUCAAUAUUUAUUGCGAUAAUCUCAGCACCAUUUACCUUGCGGCCAAUCCUAUUUUCCAUGCUCGUACAAAGCACAUUGAACUUGACCAUCAGUUCUUGUAGAAAAAAGUCCAGUCUGGUGACUUGGCCUUAAUUUAUAUCCCUUCUAAGAAGCAACUUGCCGACAUUUUCACCAAGCUCUUGUCACCCUCUCGGUUUUCGAUCUUGCGGCUCAAUCUUCGCAUCCAACCAGCAAAUGCUUAACUUGCGGAAAAAUGUUACGAUAUAUUUGUAUAGUUUAUCUAUAUUAGAAUAUUGUGUAUUAUUGCCUUAUAUAGAUAAUAAGACAAUCUCUUAUACUAUAUAUAUUCGUUAAUACAACAUAAGAGGAUAUACUCUUUUACCCUUCUUUCACCCUUCAUAGUGUGCUACCAAACAAUGAUCUUAUAGGUGUGCACUCGAAUGAUUCCCAAAAUCAGAAGAGUUGAUCUAAGAUGAUCAUGAUUAAGAUUGCAAAGUUUUCACUUUCACCCGUUAUUAGGAGUACCUUUUUAUUUUCCUUUUUAGUGUGCACACAAAUCAACAAAAAAGAGGUUGAAUUUACCAGUUUGAACAACAGGGGAAACAGAAGCAAUCAAUGGUCGAAAAUUUCGACUAGUUUUUGGAUAGCUGUUAUGGAGUACGCUUGUCCGGGAGCACAAUAUAUUGGAAACCCCACUAUCGUAGCUUUAAUUAUAGUUUAUUAUUUGGUCAGGAAUCUAUCAUUGCUAAGCUCUACUAUAAAACUGUCGCACCUGCUACUGAUCAAAUUUAUGUUAAAGGAAAGAAGAGCAGCAUGCAAUGCAGGUUGAUGCAUGGUGGCGACAUCUUCGGCCUUUUUUGCAGUGUUGGUGAUUAUUCUCUCUAUAAACAACAACAACAACAACAACAACAACAACAAUGAUAACAACAACAACAACAACAACAACAACAACAACAACAAUAAUUGCAUUGCCAUCAGUAAUCAGUCCCAUAGACAAAAAGAAAGAUGCUUGAUUUGAAUAAAUGCGGCUUAAAAAAGAAAAAGAAGACAACCUCUAGAAGAUCUUCUUUAAGAAGAAAAGCAAAGUCAGAUAUUCGGCAAAUUAGAGGUCUUAGAGUAUAAUAAGAGCGCGACUUUAGCAAACGAAGAGAAAAUUACUCGAGAGCUUUGCAAAGAUCUCCUUUAGUGAGAAAAGUGAAGUCAAAGAUUUAGCAAAAGAAAAGUCAAGAGAUUAUAGCUCCCCAUUCAAUUUGGAACUAGUAAGUAUCUGUACAUUUUCAACAAGUUGUUGGUCGAUUUAACCUUGAAAUUUAAGCCCUAAACCUCGAGUCCCCGAAUUUCAAUCAACGUAUCUUCUUAAGCUGGUAAAUUUCAAAGUUCAAAAAAUUGUAUGCAAGGAAUACCAUUUCAUGCUGAAAAUAUUGAUGGUAACAAGCAAGUCUAGACCAGUACUGACAUUUUCUCAAGUGCAAAUGGAACUCUACAACUUCAUUGAUCACCUGAACCAAACCAUUUCAAGACCAAUUUAUGUACUUACUGAAAUAAUCAUAAAAAAAAAAUCACUUUUUACUCAGGAUAGAAGAUAACUAUUUGUUAAUACAGAAGCUAUGUAAAAAAGAUGGCACAAAUUACAGUAAAAUUGUUACAGAACUUUGAGAUAAGUGGAAGAGCCACUCUCACAAACUACACUUCUUAGAGGGGCAAAGUUGUCAGAACAUUAUACAUCUUGGAGGGCAAUGUUCAAGGGACUAUUAGAAAAGCAAAAGAUGCCUAGUGCAUAAAGGUACUUCCUGGGAAUCCAGAAUUUCAUUCUGAAUUCCAACAUUAAUAUCAAGCUAAAUCUAAAACCAUAGAACUACAUAAAUGUGAUAUUAUCUUAUAAAAAUAUUACCAACAUGUCAGUUUUCUAACGCAAGUAAUUUAUGCGUGUAUUCCAGAGGCAUGGAAGGUCAUACAUACAACGUUCCUUUCAAAUACAAGAAAUUGAACAAGUUGUCUAUAUGCAUAUUCCAGAGACAUAAGGUUUACACUACAAUUUACAUGCAGUAAUGGCUCUGUGUAGCAGCAGAUUGGUCACUGAAAACUGUCCCAUUCCACAAUCAAUCACCAAUUUCCACAUCUCAUGUCCAGCAACUACUACUCGACAAAUCCAUAUAAGCAUUCUUAGUGGAAGUCGUACUCCUGCCAGGUUUUUCUAACCCGUUCAGGAAAAUAAUCUGUUACUAUUUCUAUGCAAUUUAACCUAACUGCUCAGAAGCAUUAUCUAGUAAAAGUUACCAAAAAUUAUUCAACUUUUUUUCAAGACCAGGCAAUUGGACCUUAAUACCUUACUUUAGCCGCAGAACAUGAUAUCUUUUGUCAAUUACAGCAAACAGCUGGCUAACAAGGUCAGCAAAUUAAGGAUUACUGCAAGUAAACAUGGCCCAAAAGGCCUAAUAACAUUUUUGUUAGAACUCCAGAAAAGCACCUAUUUGCACCAAUCUCUCCUGAUGCAUAUCUGUAUUACAAGUAUCUAGUCAAUGUUCGAAAAAACCACAAACAUAUGCAGGUGUCCAGUUCACUACAUAAGCAGCUAUAUAUGCACGAUCCUAUCUGUGUAUAUACAACAAAAAUAUUUUCUCAUAUGGUACAACUGUACAAGAAUGUAAAAGUAAAAAAGGAAUACAUCCACUAAAUGGAGGUAGAAAAUUUUUAAAGACCUACUUUAACCAUCUAUAUUUGUAACAUAGAAAAAUUCACAAGUUUUCCAUGAAGCAAGUACAAGAAAUAAUCAGGAUACCAGAGUAUUCUCAUAAACAAGCCUGCAAAUAUUUGUAGAUAGAAUGUGAAAUCAAGAAUUCAAUUAGUGAAACAUCUAUACAUGUUUAAUCCAGCUUUAUCUAUCAAAAAUGUGUAGCUUCAUCGUGCACCCGUACCAUGACACACAGGCCUAACACUGCUAUCUAGGCAGAGCAAUCAAAAGAUGGCAUCUAGAUAUGCGGCAGCAUAUGCAGAUGCAUGCACCAAGACAAUAGAUGAUACUGAGAGAAGCGAAACAACAAUCAUGCAUGUAGUAUAGACCAUAUUAACACUAGUUACGGCACAGGCCAGGUGAAACCGCAUUUCUGUUGAAUGGUACAAUGAAGAUAUACUGUAUUCAUUUGCUGUUUCCUUUACACAUACAGAUAAAACGAUGGAGAACAGUAGGUGUGUCUUAUCGAGAAAGCUGGGUCUGAUUAUCAUUUCCUAGUUCCUGCGCAAUACUAUAUUCAGCACAGGAAAAUGAUAUUUAAAAAUAGUGCCAUAUGCCUUGAGUACAUGAAAAUAAACUUCCAUAUCAUGCAAGAAAUAUGUAGACUAGGUCAUUCGCUUGUUCAGCAGUAUCUCAUAUAUGUCAUGCUUCAACUAGAUUUUCACUAGUCUGCCAAAUCAAGAACAAAAAUUAUACAGAAGGGUGCAUAUUCUGAUACAGACCAACCAAAUGACAAACAUUUUAGCUACAACAAGUCCUGGACGAAGUUAAUCGAACUACGCACCUAUAUAGCAGUUGUGUAUCGUAGCGCAAAUGAUAAUUCUUCAGCAGCAGAUAAUGCAUUCAUAUUUUCACACAAAGCCGGUGCUUACCAUUACAUUUUUCCCAUUUUUAAGCACCAUACUGCACGUAAAGCAGAACCCCAAGGAAAAAGAGAAAAUUAAAUGCAACAAAAUUAGAGCAUGGUAUUGAGCUGCGCAACAAACACUCCAGCACAUUCUUUUUAACAAGCACAUUCAAAGCAAAAAUCUACCCAACAACUUUGAAUGUAGUAGCAUCGAUAACACUAUCAGAUGACUGGAUUUCCAUGACCAGAGUUACAUUUCAGUUAACAAGUUUAAACCUUUUCCCUCGAUAUGAACAGGACUACUUAUUCCUCCUAUAUUACAAAACUAGAAGAGAAAGACCUUUUUCCUGAACCCCGCUUUUCUUUUCUUUUCCUUUUUUUCUUUUUUUCCUUUACAGAGAUUAAGCGCCAUGAGCAGACGUAGAGAAGAGAACAAACCUUUCAUAAUAAGCAGCAUUCGGAGCUCGAUUCACCUCUAUCAUUUGAUUUGAAGAAACCCUAAAUAAACAAAAUUUCUAAGAGAAGAGAGAUAGAGAGUGUGUGUGUGUGUGAGAGAGAGAGACCUGACUCACACGAAGCCGCUCAAUUGCAUCUUCUGAAGCGUCUGUGCCAAGCCUGAAGCAUUCUUCGCGAUCUUCCCGUUCCGUGCCUCCGCGAGAUGGGGUAAGCAGAGAUCCAAAGCUCCCUCUUCGAUCGCUUCGGCGGCCAUUUCCUCGCUGUAGGAGCACACCAAGUUGAGAACGAGAAGGGCGUUCUCGACCCCUCGCGGGCUCCCUGCCCGGAGGACGCCGCACAAAACCCUAAUGAGGCGGCCGGCCCCCUUGUUCAUCUCCUGCCGACCUUCCUGGCACUUGGCGAUCAGCCCUAGCACCUCGACGGCCCGCUCGGAUCCGGCGGCGGCGAAGGCGACGAGCGGCGGCACGGCGCCGGCGCGGACGGCGCGGCGGCGGUUCUCCGGGAACUUGCAGAGCUCGUAGAGCGCGGUGGCGGCCUCGCGGCGCUCGCGGGGGGCGCCGGCGCCGCGGCGGAGGAGGAGCGCGGCGAGGCGGGGGAUGGCGGCGGGGUGGGCGCCGAUGGUGCACUUGUUGACCUCGACGACGGCGAGGCUGGUGAGGGUGGUGGCGGCGAGGGCGGCGGAGGGGGAGGCGAGGGCGGCGGCGAGCGCGUCGACGGCGCCCUCGGCGACGCGGCGGCGAGCGGCGGCGCCGCCGCGCUUGACGAGGCGGAGGAGUUGGGAGAGGGAGGCGGCGUCGGAGGGGAAGGAGAGGGAGGAGGCGAGGUCGAGCGCGCGAAACAACUGCUGCUGCUGUUGUAAUGAUUUGGCACCGUCAGCAUCGGGGGAAGGGGAAGGGGAAGGGACGAAGGUGGAGAUGAGGCGUCGGAGGGCGUGGUUGGGGAUGAGGAGUUGCUGCUGCUGCUGCUGCGGGUAAGAAGGAGGGUAAGAAGGAGGGUAAGAAGAAGGUAGUGGUGCGGGUGCUGCCGGGGUGUUGGUGAGGGGGCAGGUGCGGCUGCCGGAGUCGAGCCAGCGCUGGAUGGAGGGGCGGUCGUAGGUCUGGCCCGACCAGGUGAGGAUGACCGGAUCCCGCAUCACCUCCAGCGAUAUCGGGCACCGGAACUCCUCCGGCAAGUCCACUUCCAUCACUCUCCCCCUCCUCCUCCUCCUGCUGCUCUCCUUAAUCAAUUAAUUUCUCCUUCCAGAACGAAAGAGAGAAGGGAUUUUGUAUUUUUCCUUUCCGCAAAUUCCCUAUCGAUAGUUUUGGGUUUAGAAUUUUAGAUAGAGAGAGAGAGAUAGAGAGAGAGAGAGAGACUAUGGGCUAUGGCAUGGGUUGAGGUGGGGUGGGUUUUGGGGGAAGAAGGCGUGUGGGACUAUUGCUUGUUCCCUGUGCGCGUGUGUGUGUGUGUUUUGAAGUAGAGAGAGAACGAGAGGUGUUUGGGUGUGUGACGUGUUUUAUGCUGAGAGGAUAUGGGUGGAGGUGACCGUCCAGUGACCGUAAGAGACCUUUCACCCUCCGGGGGCAGCUUUGGAGUGUUUUUUUCUUUUUUUUUUUUUUUUUUGGGUUAAAUGCAUGCAUGUUUUUUUAAAUAUAGUAAAUUACAAAUGUGUUCUUCCAAUAUUCAAUUUUUAUAUAUUAUUUUUAAUUUUUUAUAAAAUUUUUAAAAUUUUCAAAUAUUUUUCUCUGAUUUAUUAUCAUUAUAGAAUUAUUUAUACUUUAAAUAAAUAUUAAUUUUGCCAUUACAAAUAUGUCCCUCCAAAAGCCACAAUAGUAUAAUGUAAGGGGCGUCAAAUUAUCUCAAAGUUAAGUAUUUAACAUGUGAUUAGCUAAAGUUUGCUAACGUAUUCUAACGGUAAGGAUAUAUUUGAAAAUAUUAGAAUUUUUGUAAAAAUAAUAUAUAAAAGUUAAAGUUU
RNAcentral lists this long non-coding RNA (34341 nucleotides) under Ananas comosus (pineapple). RNAcentral describes it as "long non-coding RNA (ACOM_LNC020361)". Lineage: Eukaryota; Viridiplantae; Streptophyta; Magnoliopsida; Poales; Bromeliaceae. The record is from RNAcentral.